UACGUAGGUGGCAAGCGUUGUCCGGAUUUACUGGGCGUAAAGAGCGCGCAGGCGGUCGUAUAAGUCGAAUGUGAAAGCCCCCGGCUCAACUGGGGAGGGUCAUUCGAUACUGUUCGACUCGAAGGCAGGAGAGGGAAGUGGAAUUCCGGGUGUAGUGGUGAAAUGCGUAGAUAUCAGGAAGAACACCCGUGGCUAAGGCGGCUCUCUAGUACGGUACUGACGCUGAGACGGCGGAAAAGCGUGGGGAGCCGAACGAGGGAAUGAUAA
RNAcentral lists this ribosomal RNA (267 nucleotides) under uncultured bacterium. Its description in RNAcentral is "partial 16S ribosomal RNA". It matches the Rfam family "Bacterial small subunit ribosomal RNA", at positions 524 to 785 of the family's 1533-position model. The record is from RNAcentral.